AUACGGAGGGUGCGAGCGUUAAUCGGAAUUACUGGGCGUAAAGGGUGCGUAGGCGGCUUGAUAAGUCGGAUGUGAAAGCCCCGGGCUUAACCUGGGAAUUGCAUUCGAUACUGUCAGGCUAGAGUAUGUCAGAGGUUGGCGGAAUUCCUGGUGUAGCGGUGAAAUGCGUAGAUAUCAGGAGGAACACCAGUGGCGAAGGCGGCUAACUGGGACAAUACUGACGCUGAGGCACGAAAGCGUGGGGAGCAAACAGAAUUAGAUACCCUAGUAGUCC
This 274-nucleotide ribosomal RNA is filed under the name uncultured bacterium. RNAcentral describes it as "partial 16S ribosomal RNA". It matches the Rfam family "Bacterial small subunit ribosomal RNA", at positions 523 to 796 of the family's 1533-position model. The record is from RNAcentral.